UGGGGAAUUUUGGACAAUGGGCGAAAGCCUGAUCCAGCAAUGCCGCGUGUGUGAAGAAGGCCUUCGGGUUGUAAAGCACUUUUGUCCGGAAAGAAAUCCUUGGCUCUAAUACAGUCGGGGGAUGACGGUACCGGAAGAAUAGGCACCGGCUAACUACGUGCCAGCAGCCGCGGUAAUACGUAGGGUGCAAGCGUUAAUCGGAAUUACUGGGCGUAAAGCGUGCGCAGGCGGUUUGCUAAGACCGAUGUGAAAUCCCCGGGCUCAACCUGGGAACUGCAUUGGUGACUGGCAGGCUAGAGUAUGGCAGAGGGGGGUAGAAUUCCACGUGUAGCAGUGAAAUGCGUAGAGAUGUGGAGGAAUACCGAUGGCGAAGGCAGCCCCCUGGGCCAAUACUGACGCUCAUGCACGAAAGCGUGGGGAGCAAACAGGAUUAGAUACCCUGGUAGUCCACGCCCUAAACGAUGUCAACUAGUUGUUGGGGGAUUCAUUUCCUUAGUAACGUAGCUAACGCGUGAAGUUGACCGCCUGGGGGAGUACGGUCGCAAGAUUAAAACUCAAAUGAAUUGACGGGGUCAUAGCUGUUUCCU
This 587-nucleotide ribosomal RNA is filed under the name uncultured bacterium. RNAcentral's name for it is "partial 16S ribosomal RNA". It matches the Rfam family "Bacterial small subunit ribosomal RNA", at positions 355 to 1375 of the family's 1533-position model. The record is from RNAcentral.